AUUGAACGCUAGCGGCAUGCCUUACACAUGCAAGUCGAACGGCAGCGGGGGAGCUUGCUCCCGCCGGCGAGUGGCGAACGGGUGAGUAAUACAUCGGAACGUACCCAGUAGCGGGGGAUAGCCCGGCGAAAGCCGGAUUAAUACCGCAUACGCCCUACGGGGGAAAGGGGGGGAUCGCAAGACCUCUCGCUAUUGGAGCGGCCGAUGGCUGAUUAGCUAGUUGGUGGGGUAAAGGCCUACCAAGGCGACGAUCAGUAGCUGGUCUGAGAGGACGACCAGCCACACUGGGACUGAGACACGGCCCAAACUCCUACGGGAGGCAGCAGUGGGGAAUUUUGGACAAUGGGCGAAAGCCUGAUCCAGCAAUGCCGCGUGUGCGAAGAAGGCCUUCGGGUUGUAAAGCACUUUUGUCAGGGAAGAAAUCGUUUGGGUUAAUACCCCGAGCAGUUGACGGUACCUGAAGAAUAAGCACCGGCUAACUACGUGCCAGCCGCCGCCGUAA
This 502-nucleotide ribosomal RNA is filed under the name uncultured bacterium. RNAcentral's name for it is "partial 16S ribosomal RNA". It matches the Rfam family "Bacterial small subunit ribosomal RNA", at positions 29 to 523 of the family's 1533-position model. The record is from RNAcentral.